This 148-nucleotide non-coding RNA is filed under the name Gorilla gorilla gorilla (western lowland gorilla). The record is from Rfam by way of RNAcentral. Lineage: Eukaryota; Metazoa; Chordata; Mammalia; Primates; Hominidae.
GCUGGGCGUGGUGGUGCACGCCUGUAAUCCCAGCUACUCAGGAAGCUGAGGCAGAAGAAUCGCUUGAACUCGGGAGGCAGAGGUUGCAGUGAGCCAAGAUUGCACCACUGCACUCCAGCCUGGGUGACAGAAUGAGACUCUGUCUCAA